Molecule: ribosomal RNA, 495 nt
Filed under: uncultured bacterium
Lineage: Bacteria
Description: partial 16S ribosomal RNA
Rfam family: Bacterial small subunit ribosomal RNA
Source: RNAcentral
GACGAACGCUGGCGGCGUGCCUAAUACAUGCAAGUAGAACGCUGAAGGAGGAGCUUGCUUCUCCGGAUGAGUUGCGAACGGGUGAGUAACGCGUAGGUAACCUGCCUGGUAGCGGGGGAUAACUAUUGGAAACGAUAGCUAAUACCGCAUAAGAGUAGAUGUCGCAUGACAUUUGCUUAAAAGGUGCAACUGCACCACUACCAGAUGGACCUGCGUUGUAUUAGCUAGUUGGUGAGGUGACGGCUCACCAAGGCAACGAUACAUAGCCGACCUGAGAGGGUGAUCGGCCACACUGGGACUGAGACACGGCCCAGACUCCUACGGGAGGCAGCAGUAGGGAAUCUUCGGCAAUGGACGGAAGUCUGACCGAGCAACGCCGCGUGAGUGAAGAAGGUUUUCGGAUCGUAAAGCUCUGUUGUAAGAGAAGAACGAGUGUGAGAGUGGAAAGUUCACACUGUGACGGUAUCUUACCAGAAAGGGACGGCUAACUACGUG